This 335-nucleotide unclassified non-coding RNA is filed under the name soil metagenome. Its description in RNAcentral is "partial contains 5.8S ribosomal RNA, internal transcribed spacer 2, and large subunit ribosomal RNA". The stretch from base 1 to 120 matches the Rfam family "5.8S ribosomal RNA", at positions 35 to 154 of the family's 154-position model. The record is from RNAcentral.
GAUGAAGAACGUAGUGAAAUGCGAUAAGUAGUGUGAAUUGCAGAAUUCAGUGAAUCAUCGAAUCUUUGAACGCACAUUGCGCCCGCCAGUAUUCUGGCGGGCAUGCCUGUUCGAGCGUCAUUUCAACCAUCAAGCCCCCGGCUUGUGUUGGGGACCUGCGGCUGCCGCAGGCCCUGAAAACCAGUGGCGGGCUCGCUAGUCACUCCGAGCGUAGUAAUACAUCUCGCUCAGGGCGUGCUGCGGGUUCCGGCCGUUAAAAAGCCUUAUUUACCCAAGGUUGACCUCGGAUCAGGUAGGAAGACCCGCUGAACUUAAGCAUAUCAAUAAGCGGAGGA